AAAGGAAUUGACGGGGACCCGCACAAGCGGUGGAUGAUGUGGUUUAAUUCGAUGCAACGCGAAAACCUUACCCACCUUUGACAUGUACGGAAUCCUUUAGAGAUAGAGGAGUGCUCGAAAGAGAACCGUAACACAGGUGCUGCAUGGCUGUCGUCAGCUCGUGUCGUGAGAUGUUGGGUUAAGUCCCGCAACAAGCGCAACCCUUGUCAUUAGUUGCUACAUUCAGUUGGGCACUCUAAUGAGACUGCCGGUGACAAACCGGAGGAAGGUGGGGAUGACGUCAAGUCCUCAUGGCCCUUAUAGGUGGGGCUACACACGUCAUACAAUGGAUGGUACAAAGGGUCGCCAACCCGCGAGGGGGAGCCAAUCCCAUAAAGCCAUUCGUAGUCCGGAUCGCAGUCUGCAACUCGACUACGUGAAGUCGGAAUCGCUAGUAAUCGUGGAUCAGAAUGUCACGGUGAAUACGUUCCCGGGUCUU
This 478-nucleotide ribosomal RNA is filed under the name uncultured Acidovorax sp. Its description in RNAcentral is "bacterial SSU rRNA". It matches the Rfam family "Bacterial small subunit ribosomal RNA", at positions 903 to 1382 of the family's 1533-position model. The record is from RNAcentral. Lineage: Bacteria; Pseudomonadati; Pseudomonadota; Betaproteobacteria; Burkholderiales; Comamonadaceae.